RNAcentral lists this long non-coding RNA (315 nucleotides) under Helianthus annuus (common sunflower). RNAcentral describes it as "hypothetical non coding rna". The record is from RNAcentral. Lineage: Eukaryota; Viridiplantae; Streptophyta; Magnoliopsida; Asterales; Asteraceae.
UUGACCGACCUUGACUGUUAGCGAUAUUUGAGAAUCUAACCGAGCAAACCGAGGUGAGUUCACACUUUUCUACAAAGCAUGGAAAAUUCCCGGUGGGAAUGGGAAUGGGUACAGGAAUAGGGAUUCCUCGUCCUUUGAGACGUGUUCAGGAAUGUCAUUAGAUGCUAUGGAGCUUGCAUAUGGAGGUGGUCGUUGUGGGAUGCGAACUGAUAUGUCCCGUAUUUAAUAAAUAGACUUUAUGAACUUAUUAAACCUACGUUUUGGACUUUAAACUUAUGAACUAUGGACUUAUGUUUUGAACUUAUGUUUUAUGCU